GUGCCAGCCGCCGCGGUAAUACGAGUGGUGCAAGCGUUAUUCGGAAUCAUUGGGCGUAAAGGGUGUGUAGACGGCAUAUUAAGUCAGCUGUUAAAUUCUUCGGCCUAACCGAAGGGCUGCAGCAGAUACUGGUGUGCUUGAGGAUGGAAGAGAGAAGUGGAAUUCUCGGAGUAGCGGUAAAAUGCGUAGAUCUCGAGAGGAACACCAAUGGCGAAGGCAGCUUCUUGGUCCAUAUCUGACGUUGAAACACGAAAGCGUGGGGAGCAAACAGGAUUAGAUACCCUGGUAGUCCACGCUGUAAACGAUGAUCACUAGACGUUAGUUCUUGUUUUACGGAAUUAGUGUCGCAGCUAACGCGUUAAGUGAU
Molecule: ribosomal RNA, 367 nt
Filed under: uncultured bacterium
Lineage: Bacteria
Description: bacterial SSU rRNA
Rfam family: Bacterial small subunit ribosomal RNA
Source: RNAcentral